GAGGGGAACCCGAUUCAGGCCGCUGAGGGGAACCCGAUUCAGGCCGCUGAGGAGAACAAGAUUCGCCUCAGCAGAGAUGGAAAGAUAACUGAAAAUAACCAGAAUCAGUUCACUAGUCCAAGUGAAAUGGAUCCAGUUGUCAACAGUGGAAAGUGUCAAAAUCAUCGCCUUGUGUGCACAAGAGUAUCCUCCUUGGACAAGUGCAUUCAGUGCAUAGGACCUGUAUCCUCCUUCAAGUGGCUUGGCUAUAAAUGCAAAGUUUGUUCAGGCAUCUGGCAUAAAUCCUGCCUCAGACAAAUUACGAAUGAGAACUUCCACCACCUGUCACAGGAGCAACAGCUUUCUAAGGCUACAUCCACACGACAACGGCAACGAGAUUUUUUUUUUUUUAAUAUCGCGUCCACAUGGGCAACAGAUCAGUAAAAUUUCAGACGAAAUUCCAUUCAGUGACACUGACGCCAAGGAAGUGAGAGCGAAUCCGAUGACAGUGGCACAGCAUUCACGGCAUCAGAGUGUGGGACUAGUGAACCUGUGGAUGCUCCCUCACACUCUAUCACAGAGCAAGUCCAUGACAUGAGU
Molecule: long non-coding RNA, 579 nt
Organism: Neoarius graeffei (lesser salmon catfish)
Lineage: Eukaryota; Metazoa; Chordata; Actinopteri; Siluriformes; Ariidae
Exons: 6
Source: RefSeq, a predicted model, not a curated record